RNAcentral lists this ribosomal RNA (404 nucleotides) under uncultured bacterium. RNAcentral's name for it is "bacterial SSU rRNA". It matches the Rfam family "Bacterial small subunit ribosomal RNA", at positions 355 to 776 of the family's 1533-position model. The record is from RNAcentral.
UGGGGAAUAUUGGACAAUGGGCGCAAGCCUGAUCCAGCCAUGCCGCGUGAGUGAUGAAGGCCUUAGGGUUGUAAAGCUCUUUUGUCGGGGACGAUAAUGACGGUACCCGAAGAAUAAGUCCCGGCUAACUUCGUGCCAGCAGCCGCGGUAAUACGAAGGGGACUAGCGUUGUUCGGAAUCACUGGGCGUAAAGCGCACGUAGGCGGAUUUGUAAGUCAGGGGUGAAAUCCCGGGGCUCAACCUCGGAACUGCCUUUGAUACUGCGGAUCUCGAGUCCGAUAGAGGUGAGUGGAAUUCCUAGUGUAGAGGUGAAAUUCGUAGAUAUUAGGAAGAACACCGGUGGCGAAGGCGGCUCACUGGAUCGGUACUGACGCUGAGGUGCGAAAGCGUGGGGAGCAAACAGG